Molecule: ribosomal RNA, 200 nt
Filed under: uncultured bacterium
Lineage: Bacteria
Description: partial 16S ribosomal RNA
Rfam family: Bacterial small subunit ribosomal RNA
Source: RNAcentral
AUUGAACGCUGGCGGCAUGCUUUACACAUGCAAGUCGAACGGUAACAGGCCGCAAGGUGCUGACGAGUGGCGAACGGGUGAGUAAUGCAUCGGAACGUGCCCAGUCGUGGGGGAUAACGCAGCGAAAGCUGCGCUAAUACCGCAUACGAUCUACGGAUGAAAGCGGGGGACCGUAAGGCCUCGCGCGAUUGGAGCGGCCG